UUGGGCCCAGGAGUAAACAGGAU
RNAcentral lists this microRNA (23 nucleotides) under Homo sapiens (human). RNAcentral's name for it is "hsa-miR-6773-5p". The record is from miRBase by way of RNAcentral. Lineage: Eukaryota; Metazoa; Chordata; Mammalia; Primates; Hominidae.